This is a long non-coding RNA of Pseudopipra pipra, 1121 nucleotides long. RefSeq lists it as uncharacterized. The record is from RefSeq and is a predicted model, not a curated record. Lineage: Eukaryota; Metazoa; Chordata; Aves; Passeriformes; Pipridae. The transcript is spliced from 2 exons.
AUUCCCGGUAGAAAUCCAGGCGCUGGAAUAGGUUGCCCGGGGAGGUGCUGGAGUCACCACCCCUGGAGGUGUUUAAAACGCGUCUGGAUCUGGCACCGGGUGAUGUGGUUUAGUGGUUUGGGAGUUAUAGUGCUGGGCUGAUGGCUGGACUCGAUGAUCUUAAAGAUCUCUUCCAGCUCUGAUGAUUCUAUGAUAUUAUGAUUCUAAACACAAACAAACGAACACCACAGCAGUUAUCCUGCACAUUAACAGGUGGUUUACAUUCCAUGGCUCCUCAGCAGCGGGUUUGGACAGCUCCUGGAAGGGCCAAGGGCAGAGCCAGCUCGCAGGGCUUCUCCUCAAAAAAGGGGGGACCAGGCUUGUUUUCCCCUUCUGAUGAAAAUAAACCCAAGUACUCCUGCGUUCCAAGAGCUGCAGCAGCCGUCCAAGAUCCCACACCACCACUGAGGGAACUGCACCGGAGUCUCUGGCAAGUUCAACUCCACUGCAUCUUUCAUCCCAGUCACCUUUUAAGCUCCUUAUCUGAUCUGCCUCUUCCUCUUAAGUCCCCAGUCCUUCCUCUAGUAGUUCCCCUGCUACAGAGGCUUUUAACCUUCACAAAGCAGCUCAGCCCUGACACGCUGAAGGACUGAAAACUGAUCGCAGACAAGUGAUGUUUGCCCGACCCUUUUCCCUUCCCUUCAGGCACUAGAAGGAAGUUAUUUUAUAAGAAGUCUUUCCCUGGUGCCCAGGCUGCUCCCCCUGCUGCUGCUGCCUUGGCAACCCCUUAUCAGCAGCACAUUUACCCUCAUUUAUUCUCCGUAGGCCAGCUGAGGUGGCCCCUCCAAAUCACAGAAAUUCACGCCUUUAAAGUUUAUUCAUGGGGGUUUAGUUCAAAAAUAAAAAAAAGCUCCUGCCAGUUCUUGGGAUAUGCGUUUACUGCACUUGAAAAUUCCCUUUUCCUGGGCUUUUCUCCACACUAUAUUAAGCAAUAAGCUCCAAGGGCUCAGUGAAAGGUUCAGGCAUUACAGGUCAAGUACUGUCUUGUACACCAGCUUCUGUUGCCAUAAUUUAUUGGUUGCUGAUUUAGACCAGUUUAUAUAACAUGCAAGAUGAAGCAAACCAGUCACUUACUACAAAAA